Molecule: long non-coding RNA, 806 nt
Organism: Daphnia magna
Lineage: Eukaryota; Metazoa; Arthropoda; Branchiopoda; Diplostraca; Daphniidae
Exons: 3
Source: RefSeq, a predicted model, not a curated record
GCAGCCUCUGACGAGGUAAGUUAAACACUUAUUAAUUAAAUAGAUCUAUUUUGUAUUUAAAAAAAAAUCGGCUUCCCGAUCGUCUCCAGCUCCAUUGACGAGCUCCCGCCAUGUCGACGAACAAACUAAUAAUUCAUCGGCUGAAGAAAGUGGCGACGAGGAAGAGGGGAAGACGAGGAUGAGGAGGAGGACGAGGACGCUUUUCAUGCUCUAAAGGACGCGUUUCCAAUAAAAAAGGAAAACCUUACCAAAUUGAGUACCGUGGAUGAGCGAAAGUUUGUCCUGAAUCUUAUUGGGACGCUGUAUUCCCGGCAAUACCUGCGUCUCCACAAAAAAAGUGGUACGAAAGCUACGCAUGGAAACGACUUGAAAAUUCCUAUUCCGCGUGAGCAGUACGUUCAAAUACAAGAUGCCAUUUGCUCCAUGCUGAAGGUGAAACUAACUAGACAUCGUUUGCCACCGAAACUGGAGUUGGCUAUUUCCCAGAAAUUUAAUCAGGUGCGUCCAACGGCAGCCGACACAUAUAUAACUCACUGAAGUCCAUACAAGCCAUGUUGACAGAAGGAAGAUACUCAAGUUUCCGAAGAAAAUUUGUAUCGAUGCCAACUUCGUAUGCGUUAAACUGGGCGUCGUGGCUUAUACGGUUUUUUUCUCUUGCUAAUCUUUGAGCAUUUCUGACUUGUUCUAGGUCUCGAGACGCAUCCACUGUGUAAACUUUGUAAAUACUUUUGGCGGCGUGUCGUACCGUACUUACAGUUUAGGUUGAGUAAUUAAAUUGACACUAAGAACUGUGUCUGUUCCAACCG